GACGAACGCUGGCGGCGUGCUUAACACAUGCAAGUCGAACGGAAAGGCCCUGCUUUUGUGGGGUGCUCGAGUGGCGAACGGGUGAGUAACACGUGAGUAACCUGCCCUUGACUUUGGGAUAACUUCAGGAAACUGGGGCUAAUACCGGAUAGGAGCUCCUGCUGCAUGGUGGGGGUUGGAAAGUUUCGGCGGUUGGGGAUGGACUCGCGGCUUAUCAGCUUGUUGGUGGGGUAGUGGCUUACCAAGGCUUUGACGGGUAGCCGGCCUGAGAGGGUGACCGGCCACAUUGGGACUGAGAUACGGCCCAGACUCCUACGGGAGGCAGCAGUGGGGAAUAUUGCACAAUGGGCGGAAGCCUGAUGCAGCAACGCCGCGUGCGGGAUGACGGCCUUCGGGUUGUAAACCGCUUUCGCCUGUGACGAAGCGUGAGUGACGGUAAUGGGUAAAGAAGCACCGGCUAACUACGUGCCAGCAGCCGCGGUGAUACGUAGGGUGCGAGCGUUGUCCGGAUUUAUUGGGCGUAAAGGGCUCGUAGGUGGUUGAUCGCGUCGGAAGUGUAAUCUUGGGGCUUAACCCUGAGCGUGCUUUCGAUACGGGUUGACUUGAGGAAGGUAGGGGAGAAUGGAAUUCCUGGUGGAGCGGUGGAAUGCGCAGAUAUCAGGAGGAACACCAGUGGCGAAGGCGGUUCUCUGGGCCUUUCCUGACGCUGAGGAGCGAAAGCGUGGGGAGCGAACAGGCUUAGAUACCCUGGUAGUCCACGCUGUAAACGGUGGGUACUAGGUGUGGGGUCCAUUCCACGGGUUCCGUGCCGUAGCUAACGCUUUAAGUACCCCGCCUGGGGAGUACGGCCGCAAGGCUAAAACUCAAAGGAAUUGACGGGGCCCCGCACAAGCGGCGGAGCAUGCGGAUUAAUUCGAUGCAACGCGUAGAACCUUACCUGGGUUUGACAUGGAUCGGGAGUGCUCAGAGAUGGGUGUGCCUCUUUUGGGGUCGGUUCACAGGUGGUGCAUGGCUGUCGUCAGCUCGUGUCGUGAGAUGUUGGGUUAAGUCCCGCAACGAGCGCAACCCUUGUUCACUGUUGCCAGCACGUUAUGGUGGGGACUCAGUGGAGACCGCCGGGGUCAACUCGGAGGAAGGUGGGGAUGACGUCAAGUCAUCAUGCCCCUUAUGUCCAGGGCUUCACGCAUGCUACAAUGGCUGGUACAGAGAGUGGCGAGCCUGUGAGGGUGAGCGAAUCUCGGAAAGCCGGUCUCAGUUCGGAUUGGGGUCUGCAACUCGACCUCAUGAAGUCAGAGUCGCUAGUAAUCGCAGAUCAGCAACGCUGCGGUGAAUACGUUCCCGGG
RNAcentral lists this ribosomal RNA (1343 nucleotides) under uncultured bacterium. Its description in RNAcentral is "16S ribosomal RNA". It matches the Rfam family "Bacterial small subunit ribosomal RNA", at positions 28 to 1378 of the family's 1533-position model. The record is from RNAcentral.